UGGCUUCUUGUAAAGAGCAUCCAUAUCUUUCUCAUGUUUACCAAAAAUUUUAAAAGGAAUUGUCUGAUUCAUAAAUGACCCGAAUUCAAUAUUUACAAAAUACCCAAGGAUAAAGAUAUCGCUGAAAUCACCAUAGUUAGAAAAACACUCUUAUUAUCAAAUAAAAUAAAAUAUACGACAAUGAAGAUGUAGAAACACCAAAAAUAUAAUGGUCUAUUCAAAUUUCUAUGUGUGCUGUAAAUUACUAAAAUUAAGAAUCUAAGGACAAAAAUUACAUAAUAAAAUCAGACAAGUAAAGAGCUUAAAUCUGUAUAAUCAUAUUAACAAACAUGCAAAUCAAAAAGGGAAGACAUUAACGCAUGAACAUUCACAAAGAAGAAGGAAGAAUGACACCAUAAUUUUGUUGCCUAUUGUCAUUGACCAGAGAUGUUAGUUGUUGCUGGCGUUG
RNAcentral lists this long non-coding RNA (448 nucleotides) under Solanum tuberosum (potato). Its description in RNAcentral is "long non-coding RNA (STUB_LNC000478)". The record is from RNAcentral. Lineage: Eukaryota; Viridiplantae; Streptophyta; Magnoliopsida; Solanales; Solanaceae.